Molecule: ribosomal RNA, 434 nt
Filed under: uncultured Lachnospiraceae bacterium
Lineage: Bacteria; Bacillati; Bacillota; Clostridia; Lachnospirales; Lachnospiraceae
Description: bacterial SSU rRNA
Rfam family: Bacterial small subunit ribosomal RNA
Source: RNAcentral
ACGGAAGGCAGCAGUGGGGAAUAUUGCACAAUGGGGGAAACCCUGAUGCAGCGACGCCGCGUGAGUGAAGAAGUAUUUCGGUAUGUAAAGCUCUAUCAGCAGGGAAGAAAAUGACGGUACCUGACUAAGAAGCCCCGGCUAACUACGUGCCAGCAGCCGCGGUAAUACGUAGGGGGCAAGCGUUAUCCGGAUUUACUGGGUGUAAAGGGAGCGUAGACGGUCAUGCAAGUCUGAUGUGAAAGGUGGGGGCUCAACCCCCAAACUGCAUUGGAAACUGUAAGACUCGAGUGCCGGAGAGGUAAGCGGAAUUCCUAGUGUAGCGGUGAAAUGCGUAGAUAUUAGGAGGAACACCAGUGGCGAAGGCGGCUUGCUGGACGACAACUGACGCUGAGGCGCGAAAGCGUGGGGAGCAAACAGGAUUAGAUACCCUGGUA